RNAcentral lists this ribosomal RNA (249 nucleotides) under uncultured prokaryote. Its description in RNAcentral is "partial 16S ribosomal RNA". It matches the Rfam family "Bacterial small subunit ribosomal RNA", at positions 524 to 772 of the family's 1533-position model. The record is from RNAcentral.
UACGGAGGAUGCGAGCGUUAUCCGGAUUUAUUGGGUUUGAAGGGUGCGUAGGCGGCUUAGUAAGUCAGCGGUGAAAUUUUGCAGCUUAACUGUAACAGUGCCGUUGAUACUGCCAGGCUAGGAUUUGGUUGCUGUGGGUGGAAUGUGUGGUGUAGCGGUGAAAUGCUUAGAUAUCACACAGAAUAUCGAUUGCGAAGGCAGCUCACAAAGCCAAGAUUGACGCUGAGGCACGAAAGCGUGGGGAUCAAA